This 253-nucleotide ribosomal RNA is filed under the name uncultured bacterium. RNAcentral's name for it is "partial 16S ribosomal RNA". It matches the Rfam family "Bacterial small subunit ribosomal RNA", at positions 524 to 776 of the family's 1533-position model. The record is from RNAcentral.
UACGUAGGGCGCAAGCGUUGUCCGGAAUUAUUGGGCGUAAAGAGCUCGUAGGCGGUUUGUCGCGUCUGCUGUGAAAACUCGAGGCUCAACCUCGGGCUUGCAGUGGGUACGGGCAGACUAGAGUGCGGUAGGGGUGACUGGAAUUCCUGGUGUAGCGGUGAAAUGCGCAGAUAUCAGGAGGAACACCGGUGGCGAAGGCGACAUCCUGGACCAACACUGACGCUGAGGAGCGAAAGCCAGGGGAGCAAACGGG